This 753-nucleotide ribosomal RNA is filed under the name Genistellospora homothallica. RNAcentral's name for it is "eukaryotic LSU rRNA". It matches the Rfam family "Eukaryotic large subunit ribosomal RNA", at positions 50 to 664 of the family's 3401-position model. Lineage: Eukaryota; Fungi; Kickxellomycota; Harpellomycetes; Harpellales; Legeriomycetaceae. The record is from RNAcentral.
GCGGAGGAAAAGAAACUAACAAGGAUUCCCCUAGUAACUGCGAGUGAAGCGGGAACAGCUCAAGCUUAAAAUCUGCAGGUAUUUUCAUAUCUGUCGAGUUGUAGCUUAUAGAUGCAGUCAUCGACUCUGCGACAUAGUAAAAGUUCUUUUGAAUAAGACAUCAGAGAGGGUGAAAAUCCCGUAUUUGACUAUGUUACUAAGCAGGGAAAUGUGAACUGUUUUCUUUGAGUCGGGUUGUUUGGGAAUGCAGCCCUAAUUAGGAGGUAAAUUUCUUCUAAAGCUAAAUAUAAGCAAGAGACCGAUAGCAAACAAGUACCGUGAGGGAAAGAUGAAAAGCACUUUGAAAAGAGAGUGAAAAGUACGUGAAAUUGUUGUAAGGGAACCGGUUAGUAGCCAAGCAUCACAUUUAUGGGAUAGUUUACGCUAUUCUUGAUUGUGGGGUCAACAUCAGUUGCUAUUACUGCCUGAAAGGAAAAGAUGUAGGUGAGCGAGGGAAAGGUAGGGCGAUUGUUAGCUAGCAAAUUUAUUUGUUAGCACUAAACGGCAAUCGCUUGUUAUAGACCCUCAUGAAUCUGCUUUUAAGCCUAGAGGUGGUGGCGACUGAGGAACGCAGUGUGGUUAGUUUUUACUAGCCUGGUUAGAUUUAAAAAGGUAUGGUUAAUUUAGUUUAUUAGACAGCUUGCUGACUAGUUGACUGCGUUAAUAUACUAUUUUUAUAUUUAAACUAAGAAGCACUUUGGAUGUUGGCGAAAA